ACGGAAGGCAGCAGUGGGGGAUAUUGCACAAUGGAGGAAACUCUGAUGCAGCAACGCCGCGUGAGGGACGAAGGUUUUCGGAUUGUAAACCUCUGUUUUUAGUGAAGAAACAAAUGACGGUAGCUAAAGAGGAAGCCACGGCUAACUACGUGCCAGCAGCCGCGGUAAUACGUAGGUGGCAAGCGUUGUCCGGAUUUACUGGGUGUAAAGGGUGCGCAGGCGGGACUGCAAGUUGGAUGUGAAAAUCCGAGGCUCAACCUCGGAACUGCAUCCAAAACUGUGGUUCUUGAGUGGGGCAGAGGUAAGCGGAAUUCCGAGUGUAGCGGUGAAAUGCGUAGAUAUUCGGAGGAACACCAGUUGCGAAGGCGGCUUACUGGGCUCUAACUGACGCUGAGGCACGAAAGUGUGGGUAGCAAACAGGAUUAGAUACCCUGGUA
Molecule: ribosomal RNA, 437 nt
Filed under: uncultured Clostridium sp.
Lineage: Bacteria; Bacillati; Bacillota; Clostridia; Eubacteriales; Clostridiaceae
Description: partial 16S ribosomal RNA
Rfam family: Bacterial small subunit ribosomal RNA
Source: RNAcentral